GUGGGGGACAACAGUUGGAAACGACUGCUAAUACCGCAUAACGUCUACGGACCAAAGGGGGGAUCUUCGGACUUCCCGCCAUUUGAUUAGCCCAAGUGAGAUUAGCUAGUUGGUAAGGUAAUGGCUUACCAAGGCGACGAUCUCUAGCUGGUUUGAGAGGAUGGUCAGCCACACUGGGACUGAGACACGGCCCAG
RNAcentral lists this ribosomal RNA (195 nucleotides) under uncultured bacterium. Its description in RNAcentral is "partial 16S ribosomal RNA". It matches the Rfam family "Bacterial small subunit ribosomal RNA", at positions 136 to 334 of the family's 1533-position model. The record is from RNAcentral.